GACGUAGGGGGCCAGCGUUGUUCGGAAUUACUGGGGGUAAAGGGUUCGUAGGCGGUGUGGCAAGUCGGGAGUGAAAUCUCUGGGCUCAACUCAGAGACUGCUUCCGAAACUGCUGUGCUGGAGUGUGGGAGAGGCGCGUGGAAUUGCAGGUGUAGCGGUGAAAUGCGUAGAUAUCUGCAGGAACACCCGUGGCGAAAGCGGCGCGCUGGACCACUACUGACGCUGAGGAACGAAAGCUAGGGGAGCAAACAGG
RNAcentral lists this ribosomal RNA (253 nucleotides) under uncultured bacterium. RNAcentral's name for it is "partial 16S ribosomal RNA". It matches the Rfam family "Bacterial small subunit ribosomal RNA", at positions 524 to 776 of the family's 1533-position model. The record is from RNAcentral.